UUUCAGAACACAAACAAGCCGAAAUGCAAAUCAAACAGGCACAAGUGGUUUUAUAACAACUGUCAGGUCUCUAACGUCCACCCGUUAACCUGCAUCAUUUGUUCCCGAUGGAUACUACAAGGAUAUCAUCUGUGUGGCUGCUGCCCUUUGCGAGAUGAAAAUCGAGAUGCUGCCCUGUGAUUGGUCAGGCUGUUACUAUCCGGAACAUGGCAGAGGGCGGAGCUUUACGCACAGCUGAUCGAGGAACAACAAGCGUGCUGUCCGGGCACAUGCGGGAAUGGGGGGCUGGGAGCGUGCAGUUCACGGCAGGGACGGGGUUAAACGCGCACAUUCCUCCUAAAGGGUGAAAUUGUUGUGGUCCCUAUAACAUACAGCACUAAAAGCAACUGGGGUGUGUUUGAUUAGUCGAUUAUCGCAAGCUCACAGUUUGUCAUUUAUUCUACGAAGUUUAAAGUUUUGAGUUUUCCUCAGUUUUUAUAGAUAUUCUUCUACUGUUGUGCAGACAAAAGGAGGACUGUAAUUUUUCAAUUUACUUACAGUUCUAGUAGUCACCUUUGUGACAACUGCAAUAUAUGCACUAAUGUAUACCACUUAGCCCUGACUGUAACCGAGUAACUUGUAUUUUUUGAUGGAAUUUGGCUCAUAUUUAAUUGUCAUGUGAAUUUUAAGGUGUUAGAAAUCAUGUUUUUUUUUAAACCUGAGUCAUCCCGGGAGUUUGGAAUGACUGUUGAGAAGUUAAGUUCAUUCAGCUUGCUGACUUUUCUCUGUAGCGUUCUUGUUUUGGGUGCUGAGUAAGAUUUGUCCCCAAUUCCACCAGACCCCACUUUGUGCGUGUACAUUUAAAUAGUUAAUACCACAUAAACAGUGGUGAUGUCAUUCGAAUGGUACUUUGUUUAUUAAACAGAUAAAGCUUGUGCUGUAUUUUCACCUCAGGCAUGAUCUAAAAUAUACAUUCACAUCUCAGUAGCAAAUGGACCACACAAAGAAAAACAACAUAGUAUUUUUUCUUUGUUUUUAAGAUUUGUUUAUGAAAUAUGGAUGAGGGAAAAAAUCUAAAAAUAGGUUUAGAGAAAUGUGUUUGUUUUUUGUCCUAAUUUACAUGCGAAUUGACAAACCUACAAGCACAGGAUAAUGAUUAAUCAGACUGCACCGCAGGGUUUUGUCAAAAUAAAGGUUUUCCCACAGUGUAGUCACUCUGGAGAGAGCUUUUGCUUGGGUUUCCAUGGAUCGCCCUAAGGGAAAGGCAUAUUUUCCCUUCAAGUCUGCCUCUACAAGGUUAUAUUUUUAGGACCUGUGGGAUUGACCAACAGCUUUUUCAUACCUUGGUUGUCAUCGGUAUAUGUUUACUGCUAAUUUUUGGCCUUACAGAUACAUAGCCAAGCCACCCAAUGUUAUUAUUUGUUUGCUUAAAUUAGCAUGCUAGCGCUACCUUGGUGAGAUGCUACAGAUCAGGAUGACAUAAGGAUUUAUGACAAGAUGAUGAAACCGGGUGCAAUAGUUUAUGUGGUUUUGGCUUUUCUGGUUUCUCCAUCUGUCACUGUGUCAGACUCGCAGUCACUGACUGAACACGCUCUACCUUUCCAUGUUGCCGUUAACACAGUUGAGUCACUCUUCACUUAUCACAUGCUUUGAUUAUAAUGCAUCCCCACCCUAAUCACCUUCCAUCAUCAUCUUUCUGAGCUUAAGUCAUUCAACACUAAGUAGACAUGUGAUGUUUUAGUUUUGACUUUGACAGUAACUACAGCUUGAUUGAUCUCACAGCUGUGGCUCACGAUAUUUGUCCUGUGUUUAACCUCUG
This is a long non-coding RNA of Betta splendens (Siamese fighting fish), 1798 nucleotides long. RefSeq lists it as uncharacterized. Lineage: Eukaryota; Metazoa; Chordata; Actinopteri; Anabantiformes; Osphronemidae. The transcript has 2 exons. The record is from RefSeq and is a predicted model, not a curated record.